This 362-nucleotide ribosomal RNA is filed under the name uncultured Anaerolineaceae bacterium. RNAcentral's name for it is "bacterial SSU rRNA". It matches the Rfam family "Bacterial small subunit ribosomal RNA", at positions 1004 to 1382 of the family's 1533-position model. The record is from RNAcentral. Lineage: Bacteria; Bacillati; Chloroflexota; Anaerolineae; Anaerolineales; Anaerolineaceae.
AAAGGUGACGACCCUUCGGGAGCCAUUACAGGUGUUGCAUGGCUGUCGUCAGCUCGUGUCGUGAGAUGUUCGGUUAAGUCCGCUAACGAGCGCAACCCUCGCUGUGUGUUAUAUGUGUCACACAGGACUGCUGGUAUUAAGCCGGAGGAAGGUGGGGACGACGUCAAGUCAGCAUGACCUUUAUAUCCAGGGCUACACACACGCUACAAUGGUCAGUACAAUGGGUUGCCAAGCCGCGAGGCGGAGCCAAUCCUAAAAAGCUGGCCUCAGUUCAGAUUGCAGUCUGAAACUCGACUGCAUGAAGUCGGAGUUGCUAGUAAACGCAGGUCAGCUAUACUGCGUUGAAUACGUUCCCGGGGCUU